GUCCUGGCCCUAAACGAUGAAUGCUUGGUGUGGCGGGUAUCGAUCCCUGCCGUGCCGAAGCUAACGCAUUAAGCAUUCCGCCUGGGGAGUACGGUCGCAAGGCUGAAAACUCAAAAGGAAUUGACGGGGGCCCGCACAAGCGGUGGAGCAUGUGGUUCAAUUCGACGCAAACGCGAAGAACCUUACCCAGGCUUGAACUGCGAGUGACAUCCUACGAAAGUAGGCUUCCGCAAGGACACUCGUAGAGGUGCUGCAUGGCUGUCGU
RNAcentral lists this ribosomal RNA (265 nucleotides) under uncultured bacterium. RNAcentral's name for it is "partial 16S ribosomal RNA". It matches the Rfam family "Bacterial small subunit ribosomal RNA", at positions 793 to 1055 of the family's 1533-position model. The record is from RNAcentral.